RNAcentral lists this ribosomal RNA (253 nucleotides) under uncultured bacterium. RNAcentral describes it as "partial 16S ribosomal RNA". It matches the Rfam family "Bacterial small subunit ribosomal RNA", at positions 524 to 776 of the family's 1533-position model. The record is from RNAcentral.
UACGGAGGGGGCUAGCGUUGUUCGGAAUUACUGGGCGUAAAGCGCACGUAGGCGGCUUUGCAAGUCAGAGGUGAAAGCCCGGGGCUCAACCCCGGAAUUGCCUUUGAGACUGCAUCGCUAGAAUUGUGGAGAGGUAAGUGGAAUUCCGAGUGUAGAGGUGAAAUUCGUAGAUAUUCGGAAGAGCACCAGUGGCGAAGGCGGCAUCCUGGACCAACACUGACACUGAGGAGCGAAAGCCAGGGGAGCAAACGGG